UGGGGAAUAUUGGACAAUGGGCGCAAGCCUGAUCCAGCAAUGCCGCGUGGGUGAAGAAGGUCUUCGGAUUGUAAAGCCCUUUCGACGGGGACGAUGAUGACGGUACCCGUAGAAGAAGCCCCGGCUAACUUCGUGCCAGCAGCCGCGGUAAUACGAAGGGGGCUAGCGUUGCUCGGAAUGACUGGGCGUAAAGGGCGCGUAGGCGGAUCGUACCGUCAGAUGUGAAAUUCCUGGGCUCAACCUGGGGGCUGCAUUUGAUACGUACGGUCUUGAGUCCGGAAGAGGGUGGUGGAAUUCCCAGUGUAGAGGUGAAAUUCGUAGAUAUUGGGAAGAACACCGGUGGCGAAGGCGGCCACCUGGUCCGGUACUGACGCUGAGGCGCGAAAGCGUGGGGAGCAAAC
Molecule: ribosomal RNA, 401 nt
Filed under: uncultured bacterium
Lineage: Bacteria
Description: bacterial SSU rRNA
Rfam family: Bacterial small subunit ribosomal RNA
Source: RNAcentral